This 434-nucleotide ribosomal RNA is filed under the name uncultured Mobilitalea sp. RNAcentral describes it as "partial 16S ribosomal RNA". It matches the Rfam family "Bacterial small subunit ribosomal RNA", at positions 341 to 792 of the family's 1533-position model. Lineage: Bacteria; Bacillati; Bacillota; Clostridia; Lachnospirales; Lachnospiraceae. The record is from RNAcentral.
ACGGGAGGCAGCAGUGGGGAAUAUUGGGCAAUGGGGGCAGCCCUGACCCAGCGACGCCGCGUGAGUGAAGAAGUAUUUCGGUAUGUAAAGCUCUAUCAGCAGGGAAGAUAAUGACGGUACCUGACUAAGAAGCCCCGGCUAACUACGUGCCAGCAGCCGCGGUAAUACGUAGGGGGCAAGCGUUAUCCGGAUUUACUGGGUGUAAAGGGAGCGUAGGCGGCGUUGCGAGUCAGAUGUGAAACCCCGGGGCUUAACUCCGGGACUGCAUUUGAAACUGUGAUGCUAGAGUGCGGGAGAGGUAAGCGGAAUUCCUAGUGUAGCGGUGAAAUGCGUAGAUAUUAGGAGGAACACCAGUGGCGAAGGCGGCUUACUGGACGGUAACUGACGUUGAGGCUCGAAAGCGUGGGGAGCAAACAGGAUUAGAUACCCUGGUA